UAAAAAGAAAGAAAAAGCAAGCAGAAAAAAGAAGGGCACGUUCUACUUGUUCCUGUAGUCUUCGUUUUAGCCAUUUACACCUCCAAUCCAAGUCUGUCUCUCUGAGAUCAGGUGCUAGCAUCAGGUUAGUGGGUUUUUAUUUUCCUUCCCAAUCUCUAAAAUGGCACUUGUAUUUUAUCAAUUUCCCAUAGCAUUUGUAAUUUGUAAGUUUAAUAUGUAUUUCUCAAUAACUGGGUUGUUCUUGGAAUCAUUUCUUCCAUUGCAGCUGGCCGGGUUUAUAUUUAAGCUUUUACAUCUUCAAUCUGACUCGGGUAUUCAUGAUUUUUAUCUAUUACGCAUAGAUUUACAUGUGUUUUGAGCUUUACCGCUCUAUUUGAGGGGAUUCGAUUUCCUAGGUUGCUAGGUUUUGCGUCCCAUUGUUGGAAAGGCCAAGUUUGGUACUCUGGGGUUGUCCCAUUUUUGGAAAAGGCUAAGGUACUGUUGUUUGUGGCAGAAUGCUAUUAGGUUUUAUUUUUUCUGAAUAUUUUAGAAUUGGUGUAAAAUGUUGUUGUUUUCUGGGUCAACAGGCUGGUCAUUGGAGCUUAGUUUUCAACUUAUGAAAAAAUCUCAAUAACAUAACCGAUUCAUCAAAGAUCUAGUUAAUAAUCAGCCUGGAAGAGUUCAUUUCAGUCCUAUGUUUUAGAUACUAAGGUCGUAGUCCUCACCGGAAUUUUAUAUAUUCUCCACAUCAAGGUUAGGAAACUGAGAAAGCACAAACAAGUGCUCUAUGAUUCGCCUACAUGGUCUAAAUCUACUUAGGUAUUGUAAGCAAUGCGGAAUUUUCAUCUACAAAUAGAUGUGGACUCUUGCAUAGCCAUCAGUGAACAGCUGAUGACUUGGCAGCUGCAUUUAAACAAUCAUCCCUGGAUACCUUCAUACUCUUUGGUGCAGUUGCCCGUGUCCAUUUACCAAAAAAUGCAAAUAGGACUGCAUGUCUUUGAGACAAUGGCAACUUCAUUACAAAUGUGAAAUCAAUUUCUCCGGAGAAUCAUUCUAUGCUUUCAUUUUCUGCUGCACAGAAAAAGUUGUUGAACUGUUCUCCUUUUUCUCAUUUACGUAUUAGAUUGAAGAGGGGAUCGGGAAUGGGGAUUAAAUGCCUAAAACUCAGACGCAUUUGUAGCUUAUAUGAAAUAAGUUCUUCAUUUUUCAGGUAAAUGGGUUUGAUGACACUACUUGAAGGCUUUCUGCUUCUUGCAAAUGCACUAGCAAUAUUAAAUGAGGACCGCUUCCUUGCGCCUAGAGGAUGGAGCCUUGCAGAAUUCUCAGUGGGCAGGACAAAGUCAGUCAAGGGACAGAUUAUAGGUCUCAUUUACGCAACACAGUACUUGAGAGUUCCUCUCGUACUACUCAAUACCGUCUGCAUUGUUCUAAAAUUGAUAUCUGGGUGAUGCAAAAUUAGGUAAGAUAAAGAUUUCUAUGUUUAAGGGAUAAUAUCCUCGCUUUUUUCUUAUUUGCAUUUGUUUGUUAAAUAUUGUAAGAUUAGUACAAAGUUCUAAACCCACACUCUUUGUAUUCUUCUGUUUUCCCCUAGUAUCAUAGUGUCCAAACAAACUUACUGUUGAGCUUUCGCUCAGGUGAGGUUUCUUUACUACUCUGUUGAAGUGUGUGUUAACUCUUAACAUUUUUAUCUGCACAGCCCUGAGCCAAUAUCUCCUGGUUUGAUGUAGUAUUAUGCAGUUGAUAAUUCAAUAGUAUUUUGACAACAUAUGAAAAUGCCAUACUUUACGUUCACCCUACAAUAAUAAAGGCGACGGAACAAGUGAAAAUUUGGUUAAUUAGGAAAGUAUGCAUCUCAUAUCAAUUAUUCUACCAAGUAGCCACAACUGGUUGCAAAGUUGUUCUUACCUUUGUAUUGUGCACAGGAAUAUUGUUAACACUUAGAUUUAAUGUUCAGUCUAAUGGAACACUAUUAUAUCUAUGAGAGCAUUCUUUCACUCGGGGUGGUCAUCACCUUAGCUUGGCUAGGUUCUUUUCUGUCUGGGUAAAAACUGCUAAUGUCAUAAUUUUAUCCAUAAUGUCAAUGAAAUUAUCUUUUCUUUCUGAAUGGUUGCAGAUUGUUCUGAAGAUUCAUCAAAGUGAUAUGGGAAAUCUGCCAAAUGGAUCUCCGGUUUCUUGGAAGGCUGAAGCAUUAGGUUGAUUGAUAUUGUUUGAUUGUUGUAAUUUUGAAAUAGCUCUUGCACCUCAUUGUUCGGAAACUAUUUGCCAACAUAUCAAUUGUGCAUUUUAACGUCAUUCUCUGUCUCUCAUCCUUCCUUGCCUUUCACUUUUCUAUCUGUUAGCAAUCAAAAUUCCCUUAAAAUUUAUUCAAGGAUAUUGCUUCGAAUGUGU
This 2367-nucleotide long non-coding RNA is filed under the name Prunus dulcis (almond). Its description in RNAcentral is "sRNA ncRNA". The record is from RNAcentral. Lineage: Eukaryota; Viridiplantae; Streptophyta; Magnoliopsida; Rosales; Rosaceae.